Molecule: ribosomal RNA, 497 nt
Filed under: uncultured bacterium
Lineage: Bacteria
Description: partial 16S ribosomal RNA
Rfam family: Bacterial small subunit ribosomal RNA
Source: RNAcentral
GAUGAACGCUGGCGGCGUGCCUAAUACAUGCAAGUCGAGCGAACGGGCGAGAAGCUUGCUUCUCUGAUGUUAGCGGCGGACGGGUGAGUAACACGUGGAUAACCUACCUAUAAGACUGGGAUAACUUCGGGAAACCGGAGCUAAUACCGGAUGAUAUUUUGAACCGCAUGGUUCAAAAGUGAAAGACGGUCUUGCUGUCACUUAUAGAUGGAUCCGCGCUGCAUUAGCUAGUUGGUAAGGUAACGGCUUACCAAGGCAACGAUGCAUAGCCGACCUGAGAGGGUGAUCGGCCACACUGGAACUGAGACACGGUCCAGACUCCUACGGGAGGCAGCAGUAGGGAAUCUUCCGCAAUGGGCGAAAGCCUGACGGAGCAACGCCGCGUGAGUGAUGAAGGUCUUCGGAUCGUAAAACUCUGUUAUUAGGGAAGAACAUAUGUGUAAGUAACCGUGCACAUCUUGACGGUACCUAAUCAGAAAGCCACGGCUAACUACGUG